This is a small nuclear RNA of Vulpes vulpes (red fox), 138 nucleotides long. Its record names the gene U4. It matches the Rfam family "U4 spliceosomal RNA". From Rfam's summary of the family: U4 small nuclear RNA (U4 snRNA) is a component of the major U2-dependent spliceosome. The structure of U4 snRNA from yeast and human has been reported. NCBI's taxonomy places the organism in Eukaryota, Metazoa, Chordata, Mammalia, Carnivora, Canidae. The record is from Ensembl.
AGCUUUGCACAAUGGCACUGGGGUAGCCAAUAAGGUUUAUACGAGGUACAAUUAUUGCUAAUUGUAAGCUUUUCGUCAUAUCCUACCGUGACAACUUGAAGUACAGUGGGCAUUGACAAUUUUUGACAGUCUCGGGGA